UGGGUUUAGGAUUUACCGUUUGGACUUAUGGUUAAGGUGGGUUUAGGGUAUAUAAUUUGGGUUUAAGAUUUACGGUUUGGGUUUAGGGUCUACGACUUGGGUUUAGGGUAUAGAGUUUAGGUUUAUAGUCUAGUUUUUGGGUUUAGGGUCUAGGAUUAGGGUUUAGGGUAUAGGGUUUGGGUUUAGGGGUUUGGAUUUGGGUUUAGAAUUUAGAGUAUAGGGUUUAGAAAUUAAGAUUUAGGGUUUAGGGUUUAGGGUUUAGCUGAAAGCGUUAGCGUCGUUAAAAUUAGCGUUUUUAUUUUUUGUAGCUAUUUUUUAUUUAAUUUAAUAUUUUUAAUUAAUAAUAUAUGUGUCACUUUGAUUGGUCCUAAAAGGUGGGGUGAAUUUAAAAGUUCACCCUAGGGGGUGAACCUAAGUUGUGUCCAAAUUCUAAACCCAAAUCCAAACCCCUAAACCCAAACCCUAUACCCUAAACCCUAAUCCUAGACCCUAAACCCAAAAACUAGACUAUAAACCUAAACUCUAUACCCUAAACCCAAGUCGUAGACCCUAAACCGAAACCGUAAAUCUUAAACCCAAAUUAUAUACCCUAAACCCACCUUAACCAUAAGUCCAAACGGUAAAUCCUAAACCCAAACCGUAAAUCCUAAACCUAAAACCUAUAACUAAACCCUAAUCCUAGACCGAAAACCCAAACGGUAAACCCUAAACUGAAACCCCAAACUUAGAUGCUAUAGGGUUUGGUUAAGGUUUACGGUUUGAGUUUAGGGUCUAAGACUUGGGUUUAGGGUAUAGGAUUUCGGUUUAUAGUCUAUUUUUUGGGUUUAAGGUAUAUAAUUUGGGUUUAGGGUCUAGGAUUAGGGUUUAGGGUAUAGGGUUUAGGUUUAGGGGUUUGAAUUUGGGUUUAGAAUCUAGUGUACAGGGUUUAGAAUUUAAGAUUUAGGGUUUAAGGUUUCGCUGAAAGCAUUAACGUCGUUAAAAUUAGCGUUUUUAUUUUUUGUAACUAUUUUUUAUUUAAUUUAAUGUUUUUUAAUUAAUAAUCUAUGUGUCACUUUGAAUGAUCAUAAAGGGUGGAGUGAAUUUAAAGGUUCACCUUAGGGGGUGAACCUAAGUUCUGUCCAUUUUGGACACAACUUAGGUUCACCCCUUAGGGUGAACUUUUAAAUUCACCCCACCUUUUAGGACCAAUCAAAGUGACACAUAGAUUAUUAAUUAAAAAUAUUAAACUAAAUAAAAAAUAGCUACAAAAAAUAAAAACGCUAAUUUUAACGACGCUAACGCUUCCAGCUAAACCCUAAACCCUAAAUCUUAAUUUCUAAACCCUAUACCCUAAAUUCUAAACCCAAAUCCAAACCGCUAAACCCAAACCCUAUAACCUAAACCCUAAUCCUAGACCCUAAACCCAAAAACUAGACUAUAAACCU
Molecule: long non-coding RNA, 1424 nt
Filed under: Brassica napus (rape)
Lineage: Eukaryota; Viridiplantae; Streptophyta; Magnoliopsida; Brassicales; Brassicaceae
Description: long non-coding RNA (BNAP_LNC022860)
Source: RNAcentral